UGAAGGACCUUCGGGUCCGAAAUCCCUGAUCCUCCGCUGCCGAGAAAAGCCUCUAGUGAGAAUACAGGUGCCCGUACCGCAAACCGACACAGGUAGGCGAGAAGAGAAUUCUAAGACGCUCGGGAGAACUCUCGUUAAGGAACUCGGCAAAAUGACCCCGUAACUUCGGGAGAAGGGGUGCUCUAGUAGGGUUAAUCGCCCGAGAGAGCCGCAGUGAAAGGAUCCAAGCGACUGUUUAGCAAAAACACAGGUCUCUGCGAAGCCGUAAGGCGAAGUAUAGGGGCUGACACCUGCCCGGUGCUGGAAGGUUAAGAGGAAGGGUCAUCCCCGGUGAGAAGCUCUGAAUUGAAGCCCCAGUAAACGGCGGCCGUAACUAUAACGGUCCUAAGGUAGCGAAAUUCCUUGUCGGGUAAGUUCCGACCCGCACGAAUGGUGCAACGACUUGGAUACUGUCUCAACGAGAGACCCGGUGAAAUUAUAGUACCUGUGAAGAUGCAGGUUACCCGCGACAGGACGGAAAGACCCCAUGGAGCUUUACUGUAGCUUGAUAGUGAGUGUUGGUAUCAUCUGUAC
Molecule: ribosomal RNA, 573 nt
Filed under: Shouchella clausii
Lineage: Bacteria; Bacillati; Bacillota; Bacilli; Caryophanales; Bacillaceae
Description: bacterial LSU rRNA
Rfam family: Bacterial large subunit ribosomal RNA
Source: RNAcentral